UGGAAUAGGAGAAGGGGCAGGAAGAGGAAGAGGAGGGACAGAGGCAGAUCAAGGCUGAGCAGCAGGAAGCACGCGGUCGAGCCCUCCGUGCAUUCGCAGCCCCCACCUGUGGGAUCAUCGCCCCCAUGGCGCAGGAUUUCCCAUUGUCACUUCUUGUGAGGUAGUGAGGAAGAGGAAGAUGUCCCUGGACAUGGAGUCAGGAUUGGAAGGAAAUUCAAGGACAGGAACAGUUUUUCUCAGCUGGGAAUUGGAAUUCCAGACCCUGGGAUUGUGUGCAGGACCACACAGACUGCGAUCAAACAUGGACUGGGGCCAUGUGGAAUGGGACCAUACAGAUCAGGAUGAUACAGACUGGGAUAAACUGGGUUGAAAUUACACGGACUGGGGUGGCACAGACUGGGAUGGCACAGACUGGGGUUGCACAGGCUGGGGUUGCACAGACUGGGGUUGCACACACCGGGAUUGCACACACUGGGAUCAGACGGGCUGGAAAAGCAUUGGCUGCCUUUGGCUCCAUCCACGUCUAAAGGCGGCCACA
Molecule: long non-coding RNA, 538 nt
Organism: Passer domesticus (house sparrow)
Lineage: Eukaryota; Metazoa; Chordata; Aves; Passeriformes; Passeridae
Exons: 3
Source: RefSeq, a predicted model, not a curated record